This 5153-nucleotide long non-coding RNA is filed under the name Aquilegia coerulea. RNAcentral's name for it is "long non-coding RNA (ACOE_LNC000815)". Lineage: Eukaryota; Viridiplantae; Streptophyta; Magnoliopsida; Ranunculales; Ranunculaceae. The record is from RNAcentral.
CAUGGAAGCUCUUAAAGCUUCGUCCUUUCUUUCUUCACAGCUCACAACAAUCUCAAACAGACUUCAAUCAAAUCAAUUUCAAAAACCCAUAUUGUUUUUAACAUCAAAUCCAAAACCCAGUUUUUAUUUUUCAUUAAUUCCACAAAAAAAAAUCAAAAUUCAAGCUUUCUUCAACUAUAUCUCCAACUAUUUCGACCGAAUCCAAUAAUCCAUUUUCUCCAGAGAUUGAAUCUCAAGGAGAUGAAGAGAAAUUUGAUUGGUUUUCACAUUGGUAUCCAAUAGCAGCUGUUUGUGAUUUAGAUAAAAGAGUUCCUCAUGCUAGAAGAGUUAUAGGUCUUGAUAUUGUAAUUUGGUGGGAUAGAAAUGAAGAGAAAUGGCAAGUGUUUAAUGAUAGUUGUCCUCAUCGUUUAGCGCCACUUUCUGAAGGAAGGAUUGAUCAAUGGGGUCGGUUGCAGUGUGUUUACCAUGGUUGGUGUUUUAAUGGUUCUGGUGCUUGUAACUUCAUUCCUCAAGCUCCACCAGAUGGUCCACCGGUAAUCGUAUUCAAAGGAACCUAAUUUAUCUUUCGAAAAUAUUUAGCUGUUUAUAUGAUCAAUCAUCACCCAAUUAAAUUAUUUUGUUUGCAAGUUAGUCAUCUGCCUCAUGAAAAUAUGAUAAAAAGUAAAACAAAAAUGUUAGCGAGAGUGGGGACUGAUCAGACCCUCACAUACAGUUUAUACAGCAUUUGCAUCAAAUCAGCAUUGGAGUUUUAUUUAUUUCGAGUGGUAGUUUACAAGACUAGAAGUACGUUACAUACCAUGAUACCCGAAAGUGACAGAGGCAAUCAUCGUCACCAAACUACUCAAUAUGAAUUAAAACCUUGAUUCUAAUCUAACAUCAUUGUAGCAUGUAGUUUUCAUUUAUAUAUAAAAUGUGUAGCUUAUAGCUUGUCGAAACUAAGAAAUAGCCAAAUAGGAUUACAAUAUAUGUGAUCAAUGAACAGUGAACUAUGAUUCAAUGAAGUUUGUGUUUGUUGCUUGUCUGAUACCAUUUUGGUUUAUAGGUUUUCACUUUUCAUAGUUAGAUUCAAAAGUUAUAUUUGGGUAGCCAAAUUUACAAGGCUGAAUGUUUUUUUCAGGGAGAGAGUUUAUCCCCACAUUAUAAGGUGUUCAUAUUUAGUGAGCCUGAGCCCUUAUUCCUACUUAUAUAGGAUAUGAGACUAAGAGUGAAAUGUCGAGAUAGAAAACACAUACACACCAUACUUUCUUAUUCAAGAGGUAGAGAAACAAAAUUUCUAUGCGUGUGGGAAGCCAGUUAUUUAGAUUCUUCCUUCCAAAGAAGCAUUUAAUUUUAUAUUAUGCAAACACAUUUUUACCACCAAUAGACAUAUCACUUGGAGAUAAUGCCCAUCAGAAUUUGUUUCUUAAACCUAAUAUAGAAGUAUUGACGUCAGUAUCGCAAUCCACAGGUUCAUACAUCCAAAAAAGCAUGUGUAGCUGUUUAUCCAUGUAUUGUGCAGAAUAAAAUUCUUUGGUUUUGGCCAAGAUCUAAGACUCAGUAUAAAGAUAUUGCAACAAAGGAAAAACCUCCUUACGUCCCUGAGUUGGAUGAUCCAUCAUAUACAUCUGUAAUGACAUCAAGAGACAUUCCCUACGGGUAUGCAAUUGCCUAGUACCAUUUCCUGUUUUUUUCUUAAGUUAUAUAUAUAAUAUAUGGACUAUGAUAAUCCAAUUUGACUUAUUCUUAUUCUCCUACAACUGGUGAUUUGUUUUACUGAUAUAUAUGUGAGAAAUAUGCCUCCUAUAGGUAUUAGCAGGUCCAGAUCAUUUUCCUGGACAAAACGAUAUAGGCCAAACUAAAUGAAGAACAUUUUCAUUCUUAUACCAAACCCUUCUCAUUCAGAAAGUAUGGGAACUUUCUCCUAUAACUCAAAGAUAUUACAUUUGUACCACUCUGUUGUGAUUUAUUCACUUUACUGUGCUAUAGCAUGCUCCAUUAGAAAAAAUAGCUGUACAAAUGCACUUCGUUCCGUCUUUUGGUAGACAAGAACUUGCUGCAUAUAUUGUGCUAUGGAGUUGUUUCUGUUCUGAAGGUCUUGAUCAUUGAGUUCUUAUAAUUUGUGUUGAAAAUGAAUGGGUAUGGCAGGUAUGAAGUUCUCACCGAAAAUCUCAUGGACCCCGCUCAUGUUCCUUACGCUCACUAUGGCAUUCUAGUACCAAGUAAAAAACCAAGAUAAGUACCAAGUGAAGUUGGCAUUAUGAAAUGUGAAAACAAUUCCGUAGACAACCAGAUGUUAUGUAAAUAUUGGCUUUUUUUCCUUAAAAUUAAUCAUUACUAAACCAUUGAAUUCUUCCACAGAGAAGGCUGACCGAGAAGGAGGGAUGCCUUUGGAUAUAAACGUGACAAGACUAGACAAAAGUGGCUACUUGACGAAGCAGGCUAAUGCGUGUAACGAAUUUGUGGCACCCUGUUUAUUUUCUUAUUAUUCAAAUCCAGUGGCGGAUGGUGGGUCUUCCACGUCUGGGAGCGUACAGAAAGUAACGCAAUAAAUUUAUGUAAUAAUUUACAUUCUCUUGGUCUUGUUUUAUUCAUAGGUCUAUCUAACCACUUUUAAUUGUAAUUAUAUUCAGAAAACAUCAGAGCGACGAAUACUUUUGGUUUUCUUCUGUAUUCCUGUUAGUCCUGGUAAAAGUAGAGUGAUAUUUUCCUUCCCAAGAAACUUUGCAGUUUGGGUGGAUCGAGUUGUUCCACGUGGAUAUUGCAUAUUCGUUCAAAUCUGGCUCUAGAUUCAGAUAUGUACCUUCUUCACUUGCAGGUAACAUUAUGCCUUUAUUGAUAUAGUUAGAAAAUAUUUUUCUACAAAUGCUUUCUCUAAAUUCUACUAGUAUGCUGUUGAAAUUCUCUCUAAUACAAUGAUGAUUUAAAGAGUCGAAGAGAUAGCUACAUAUAGGAGAAGAAUGAGAUGUGGAUUUUGUGCCACAGGUCCAAUACUUGUAAAGCUAACUUUUGAACUAGAAAAUGUUAUAAAGAUAGCCACAUUUUUUUUUUCUCUUGAUCGAGUUGUUGUCUACCUAGAUGUUAUGAAUUCACAAUGCCUUUCUGGUUCUUUUCCAUCUUGGUACUGUAUAUUUAACCUUGAUCUGCUGGUCUAAUAUAACUAUGGACUGAUUUACAACCUUAGUUUUAUCUGUAUAGACAAAUUUAAUUAUUCUGAUGUUUUACUGUUUGGAACUUUUUCAGAGAGGUAAAGAGUACGAACACUAUCAACUCUCUUUCUAAUCACCUUCCCCUAGUAAAAUAGUUGUAUACUUGUAUCAUGUACUAUCUUUCUCUUAUUCUUUUGAAACUGUGUGUUGGUGCAGGAGCGUAAGCUAAUUGAUGUUGGCGUUUCUAAUUGGCUAAAAGUUUGCUUUGUUCCAACAAAAUCGGAUAAUAAUGUGAUUGCCUUUAGAAACUAGUUGAGGAAAUACUCUGGCAGUCAAAUUCAUUGGGCAGCCAAAUUUGGAGCAGAACUUCCUCCAACUCCUCCCAAAGAACAGCUAAUGGACAGGUACUCACACAUAAUUUUUACGACUACAGAUCUUAAGCAAUACUGCGGUUAGGAUGUAGUUACUUCUCUAUUAUUAAACCAUGCAAAAGAUUGCAAUUUUUGAAUUUCACAAUUUGUAAUAUAUCCCAGGUACUGGUCUCAUGUGGUAAAUUGCAGUAGCUGCAGUAAAGCAGUAAAUAGUCUCAAGGCAUUUGAGGUCGCCUUGCAAGUUAUUUCCAUAGCUACAAUUGGAAUCGUUGCAAUCAGGCAGAGUCUGAUGUCAGUGGUUGCCAAGAUUUUCAUGGUCUCUCUCGCAGUGUUGUGCUUUAUUGCUUCAAGGGGGUUGUCGCAUUUCAUCUACAAGACUUUCUAUUUCCAUGACUACAACCACGCUCUCGUAUGAAAGGAUUCUGGCGAAUUGAAAGUUGCUUCUCUAUAUGUACACUAAACAGUAGAAGAAUUCCUAUUAACUAUAGGUAUACAAAAUAAAUUGAAGGUGAAUCUGAAAGUCAAAUUCUUUCAAGUGUUAAUCAUUCAAACUCUGUUUGAGACAAUCAUUCACAAUUCUUACAUCAGUCCGUCAGCCUCGUGCUCAUGUUACUGUCAUUUAUGGAGAUGUCUCCAAGUGUCAUAAACUUGUAAGUUGUAACUACCUUAUUUGCAAACUAGACAUACUUUUUCAGUCCAGUUAAUAUUUAUCAUUGCAGAUCAUCUAAUGAAAACUUCAUUGCAUGAAUUUUCGUUGUGAUUUGAAAAUGAAUGUGACAAAUUGUGAGGUGUUCUGUAUUUAAUACUUAGUUGCUACUAGCAAAUUUAAUUUUUUUUUAUUAAACAAAAUUCAUGAAGAAAUAGUGAAAUACAUAAUGGUACAGGACAUGGAGGCUAUAAACUGCGCAGCAAACCCUUUAAAAAUCGAAAUACGUGUUUGAAAAUACAUAUUCGUUACAACAUGUAGUCCUCACAUUGGGAUUUGAAAGAAUUAAUUAAAACUUUAUAACCAUUACUACAACCGAAUGCAUUAUUCGAUACGAUCAAACCGAACCAAUCACCCACCACUCGUUCACUUCGUUCACUGUUAAACUUAAGAAGAGAUUGAGUAAUAGCAGUAACCAUGGAAGCUCUUAAACCUUCAUCCUUUCUUUCUUCAAAACUCUCAACAACAAUCUCAAACAGACUUCAAACCACACAAUUUCAAAAACCCAUCUUGUUUUUAACAUCAAAUCCAAAACCCAGUUUUUAUUUUCCAUCAAUUCCACAAAAUAAAUUAAAAUUCAAGCUUUCUUCAACUAUAUCUCCAACUGUUUCCACUGAAUCCAAAAACCCAUUUUCUCCAGAGAUUGAAAAUCAAGGAGAUGAAGAGAAAUUUGAUUGGUUUUCACAUUGGUAUCCAAUAGCAGCUGUUUGUGAUUUAGAUAAAAGAGUUCCUCAUGCUAGAAGAGUUAUAGGUCUUGAUAUUGUAUUUUGGUGGGAUAGAAAUGAAGAGAAAUGGCAAGUGUUUAAUGAUAGUUGUCCUCAUCGUUUAGCGCCACUUUCUGAAGGAAGGAUUGAUCAAUGGGGUCGGUUGCAGUGUGUUUACCAUGGUUGGUGUUUUAAUGGUUCUGGUGCUUGUAACUUCAUUCCUCAAGCUCCACCAGAUGGUCCACCG